RNAcentral lists this ribosomal RNA (300 nucleotides) under Triticum aestivum (bread wheat). RNAcentral describes it as "partial small subunit ribosomal RNA". The record is from RNAcentral. Lineage: Eukaryota; Viridiplantae; Streptophyta; Magnoliopsida; Poales; Poaceae.
AUGACUCAACUGUUUGAGAUCCGAGAAAAAUGGGCUAAGCCGUACUUCAAAGGAGUAUUAUGUGCUAAGAUGACAAGUACCCAGUGUAGCGAGAGUGCGAACCAUAUGCUGAAGAGCUAUGUACCACCUGGAUCUCCAAUGCAUAUGUUCGUGAGGCAGUACAUGAGGCUGCAGUUCGACAAGUCAUCCGACGAGAGCUACGCGGAAAAGAUGAGUAAAAUUGGAGGAGUUGUGUUGCGAACAAACUCAUCCAUUGAGCUGGAUGCAAGCAAGAUCUACACCAGAUCCAUGUUUGAGUAG